UGUAGCGCAAAUGACUUUGGG
RNAcentral lists this non-coding RNA (21 nucleotides) under Caenorhabditis elegans. Lineage: Eukaryota; Metazoa; Nematoda; Chromadorea; Rhabditida; Rhabditidae. The record is from RNAcentral.